RNAcentral lists this ribosomal RNA (479 nucleotides) under uncultured bacterium. RNAcentral's name for it is "partial 16S ribosomal RNA". It matches the Rfam family "Bacterial small subunit ribosomal RNA", at positions 30 to 507 of the family's 1533-position model. The record is from RNAcentral.
UGAACGCUGGCGGCGUGCUUACCACAUGCAAGUCGAACGAAGCACUUUAUUUGAUUUCCUUCGGGACUGAUUCUUUUGUGACUGAGUGGCGGACGGGUGAGUAACGCGUGGGUAACCUGCCUUGUACAGGGGGAUAACAGUUGGAAACGGCUGCUAAUACCGCAUAAGCGCACAGCAUCGCAUGAUGCAGUGUGAAAAACUCCGGUGGUAUAAGAUGGACCCGCGUUGGAUUAGCUAGUUGGUGAGGUAACGGCCCACCAAGGCGACGAUCCAUAGCCGACCUGAGAGGGUGACCGGCCACAUUGGGACUGAGACACGGCCCAAACUCCUACGGGAGGCAGCAGUGGGGAAUAUUGCACAAUGGGCGAAAGCCUGAUGCAGCGACGCCGCGUGAGCGAAGAAGUAUUUCGGUAUGUAAAGCUCUAUCAGCAGGGAAGAUAAUGACGGUACCUGACUAAGAAGCACCGGCUAAAUACGUG